Molecule: ribosomal RNA, 585 nt
Filed under: uncultured bacterium
Lineage: Bacteria
Description: bacterial SSU rRNA
Rfam family: Bacterial small subunit ribosomal RNA
Source: RNAcentral
ACGGGUGAGUAACGCGUGGAUCAUCUGCCUUUGGGUGGGGGAUAACCCGGGGAAACUCGGGCUAAUACCGCAUAAAACCGCGAGGUCAAAGGGGGCCGCAAGGCUCUCGCCGAAAGAGGAGUCCGCGUCCGAUUAGCUAGUUGGCAGGGUAAUGGCCUACCAAGGCGACGAUCGGUAGCCGGCCUGAGAGGGUGAUCGGCCACACUGGAACUGAGACACGGUCCAGACUCCUACGGGAGGCAGCAGUGGGGAAUUUUGCGCAAUGGGCGAAAGCCUGACGCAGCAACGCCGCGUGGAGGAUGAAGGUCUUCGGAUUGUAAACUCCUGUCAGUGGGGAAAAAGGGGAACGGGCUCAUACCCCGUUUCAUUGAUUGUACCCGCAGAGGAAGCCCCGGCUAACUCUGUGCCAGCAGCCGCGGUAAUACAGAGGGGGCAAGCGUUAUUCGGAAUUAUUGGGCGUAAAGGGCGCGUAGGCGGUCGUUCAAGUGGUAGGUGAAAUCCCUCGGCUCAACCGAGGAGCUGCCCGCCAAACUGAACGACUUGAGUCCGGGAGAGGUGAGUGGAAUUCCCAGUGUAGCGGUGAAA